Molecule: long non-coding RNA, 114 nt
Organism: Fundulus heteroclitus (mummichog)
Lineage: Eukaryota; Metazoa; Chordata; Actinopteri; Cyprinodontiformes; Fundulidae
Exons: 3
Source: RefSeq, a predicted model, not a curated record
UCAGGGUCCAGAUCCAACGUUUAACAGGAAGUUUUCUGUUUCAGAGCAGGUUUUCCACAGACAGACAAAAUGGCUGAAUCAUUCACCUACAGCUCCUAUGAGGUAUAGUCUGAA